RNAcentral lists this unclassified non-coding RNA (338 nucleotides) under soil metagenome. RNAcentral describes it as "partial contains 5.8S ribosomal RNA, internal transcribed spacer 2, and large subunit ribosomal RNA". The stretch from base 1 to 120 matches the Rfam family "5.8S ribosomal RNA", at positions 35 to 154 of the family's 154-position model. The record is from RNAcentral.
GAUGAAGAACGUAGUGAAAUGCGAUAAGUAGUGUGAAUUGCAGAAUUCAGUGAAUCAUCGAAUCUUUGAACGCACAUUGCGCCCCAUGGCAUUCCGUGGGGCAUACCUGUUCGAGCGUCAUUUCAACCUUCGGGCGGUCCUUUGGUCCGUCUGGAUUUGGGUGUCGUCUAAUGGCGUGCCUUAAGAGAAUUGGCGGUGUAGGUGCCGGCUUCGAGCGUAGCAGAUGCGAUUCGCUUUGGAAGCUGGCGUGCUCACCUUGCCAGAAAAGUCUCUGAAGAGCUGACCUCGGAUCAGGUAGGGAUACCCGCUGAACUUAAGCAUAUCCAAUAAGCGGAGGA